AACGAACGCUGGCGGCAUGCCUAACACAUGCAAGUCGAACGAACCCUUCGGGGUUAGUGGCGCACGGGUGCGUAACACGUGGAAUCUGCCCUUUGCUUCGGAAUAACAGUUAGAAAUGACUGCUAAUACCGGAUGAUGUCGUAAGACCAAAGAUUUAUCGGCAAAGGAUGAGCCCGCGUAGGAUUAGGUAGUUGGUGGGGGUAAAGGCCUACCAAGCCGACGAUCCUUAGCUGGUCUGAGAGGAUGAUCAGCCACACUGGGACUGAGACACGGCCCAGACUCCUACGGGAGGCAGCAGUGGGGAAUAUUGGACAAUGGGCGAAAGCCUGAUCCAGCAAUGCCGCGUGAGUGAUGAAGGCC
RNAcentral lists this ribosomal RNA (360 nucleotides) under uncultured bacterium. Its description in RNAcentral is "bacterial SSU rRNA". It matches the Rfam family "Bacterial small subunit ribosomal RNA", at positions 29 to 416 of the family's 1533-position model. The record is from RNAcentral.